AGUAACGCGUGGAUAACCUGCCCUGAGGUGUGGAAUAACCAGGGGAAACUCUGGCUAAUACCGCAUGAUACCGUGAGGUCAAAGGGGGCUCGCAAGAGCUCUCGCCACAGGAGGGGUCCGCGUCCGAUUAGCUAGUUGGUAGGGUAAUGGCCUACCAAGGCGACGAUCGGUAGCUGGUCUGAGAGGAUGAUCAGCCACACUGGAACUGAGACACGGUCCAG
Molecule: ribosomal RNA, 221 nt
Filed under: uncultured bacterium
Lineage: Bacteria
Description: partial 16S ribosomal RNA
Rfam family: Bacterial small subunit ribosomal RNA
Source: RNAcentral